Long non-coding RNA from Gorilla gorilla gorilla (western lowland gorilla), 365 nucleotides. RefSeq lists it as uncharacterized. Lineage: Eukaryota; Metazoa; Chordata; Mammalia; Primates; Hominidae. The transcript is spliced from 2 exons. The record is from RefSeq and is a predicted model, not a curated record.
AGCGACAUGACAAUGAAUAGUGGGAUAUGAUGGAUUUUACAUGCACCCCAUCAUCUGCAGAUGAAUGGAGCUAUUCAACAAUGAAACAGCUGACUCACAAAGCAACUGAAGAAAGAGCAUUAAGGAGCUCUUGCAGUGGGAUCAUAGAAGCAGAGGCCUGGAAGCAUGGGACCUUUGUGAGGUUUUCCCAAGCUGGGGACUGACAUAGUGUUGGAUUUGCCAUCCUGGACCUUACUCUGUCACUGACCAGAGUGACUCCCUUGUCCUGCUAGUGGUCAACUAUGCUGGCAAUCCUAAUACAAUGGAUUCUAGGCUUCUUUUGUCUUCCUCUGCCUAUCCGUAAGUAAUAAAUCUGCUUCAUGUAA